Molecule: ribosomal RNA, 253 nt
Filed under: uncultured bacterium
Lineage: Bacteria
Description: partial 16S ribosomal RNA
Rfam family: Bacterial small subunit ribosomal RNA
Source: RNAcentral
UACGAAUGUGGCGAGCGUUGUUCGGAAUCACUGGGCGUAAAGAGUACGUAGGCGGUUUAGCAAGUCAGGAGUGAAAUCCCCGGGCUCAACCCGGGAACUGCUUUUGAAACUGCUAGACUAGAAGCUCGGAGAGGUUGGCGGAAUUCUCAGUGUAGAGGUGAAAUUCGCAGAUAUUGAGAGGAACACCAGUGGCGUAAGCGGCCAACUGGACGAGUAUUGACGCUGAGGUACGAAAGCGUGGGGAUCAAACAGG